GGUAGACAAAAUGAGAGGCUAAUCUACUUCCAAUGUUAUAUUAACUGCAGGAAAUGGUAAUAUUGUUAAUUAACCCUCCAUAUAGGUUUACAAGAAUCAGGUUAAAUAUUAUAGCGUGCCAUAUUUACAGAGUCUGAUAAUUUGCCUGUCCCAGACUCCAUCUGCAGGCAUUAAUAGAAUCAAUAAGGGUUACCAGAUCCACUAUGUUUU
Pelobates cultripes (western spadefoot toad) is the source of this 210-nucleotide non-coding RNA. The record is from the annotation of a GenBank genome assembly. NCBI's taxonomy places the organism in Eukaryota, Metazoa, Chordata, Amphibia, Anura, Pelobatidae.